CAGAUCCCAGGGUAGGCCAAGGGCUCCAGCCAGAGAGUAUCAGGAGAGGAGCAAGGUGCUUGCAUGGUCUCCCUGCAAAGCCCAGUUUCCACCAGGAAAGCAACCAAUAGUCCUUGCAGGGGACUAGUGCCAUCAUAAUUAGCCACUCUGGACUCCUCCAGGCACAGGCCCAGGUGGUACAGGUAAAGGCUGCUACACAGGUGGGCAGGCUUUUGUGGAGGCCUCUUCAGAGUGGAGGGAAACUGCAUUACAGGUAAAGCCCCUUGGACCUUGUGAGAGCCUUUGGAGUUGUUUGAAGCCAGCCAGAUCUCACAAUCCUGGGAGAAGCAUUGCUGCUCUCACGGUGAAGAUAAUGAAAAACUGAGUCUGGACACCAGAAUUUCAUUUUUUCAUGUUCUGCUCCACACAGAGCUCUGCAAGAAAAGACAAUGAGGAUCACAACCCCAGGAAACUCAGCAGAAUGAAUCCAUUGGGUGUGACAAAUUAAACGCAAAGGGAGAGAAUCCAACAAAAAGAAAAAGUCAUGACAAGGCUUUUAAAAC
This is a long non-coding RNA of Heterocephalus glaber (naked mole-rat), 542 nucleotides long. Lineage: Eukaryota; Metazoa; Chordata; Mammalia; Rodentia; Bathyergidae. The record is from Ensembl.